CUAACAUGUUUCACCUUCACAUAGGCUUCUUAAAAGUGUUGAGUAUUGAACACUUUGAAAAAGCCUGUGUGAAGGUGAAAUGUGUUAG
Pelobates cultripes (western spadefoot toad) is the source of this 88-nucleotide non-coding RNA. The record is from the annotation of a GenBank genome assembly. NCBI's taxonomy places the organism in Eukaryota, Metazoa, Chordata, Amphibia, Anura, Pelobatidae.